Molecule: ribosomal RNA, 492 nt
Filed under: uncultured bacterium
Lineage: Bacteria
Description: partial 16S ribosomal RNA
Rfam family: Bacterial small subunit ribosomal RNA
Source: RNAcentral
AGUGAACGCUGGCGGUAGGCCUAACACAUGCAAGUCGAACGGCAGCACAGUAAGAGCUUGCUCUUACGGGUGGCGAGUGGCGGACGGGUGAGGAAUACAUCGGAAUCUACUUUUUCGUGGGGGAUAACGUAGGGAAACUUACGCUAAUACCGCAUACGACCUACGGUUGAAAGCAGUGGAUCUUCGGACCUUGCGCGAUUGAAUGAGCCGAUGUCGGAUUAGCUAGUUGGCGGGGUAAAGGCCCACCAAGGCGACGAUCCGUAGCUGGUCUGAGAGGAUGAUCAGCCACACUGGAACUGAGACACGGUCCAGACUCCUAAGGGAGGCAGCAGUGGGGAAUAUUGGACAAUGGGCGCAAGCCUGAUCCAGCCAUACCGCGUGGGUGAAGAAGGCCUUCGGGUUGUAAAGCCCUUUUGUUGGGAAAGAAAAGCAGCAGGUUAAUACCCCGCUGUUCUGACGGUACCCAAAGAAUAAGCACCGGCUAACUUCGUG